UCUGGUAUUGAUUGGUGCUUGCAUCAUGAUUUACAUUUGAGUGAGUGGCGAACUGGUGAGUAACACGUGGGAAACCUGCCCAGAAGCGGGGGAUAACACCUGGAAACAGAUGCUAAUACCGCAUAACAACUUGGACCGCAUGGUCCGAGCUUGAAAGAUGGCUUCGGCUAUCACUUUUGGAUGGUCCCGCGGCGUAUUAGCUAGAUGGUGGGGUAACGGCUCACCAUGGCAAUGAUACGUAGCCGACCUGAGAGGGUAAUCGGCCACAUUGGGACUGAGACACGGCCCAAACUCCUACGGGAGGCAGCAGUAGGGAAUCUUCCACAAUGGACGAAAGUCUGAUGGAGCAACGCCGCGUGAGUGAAGAAGGGUUUCGGCUCGUAAAACUCUGUUGUUAAAGAAGAACAUAUCUGAGAGUAACUGUUCAGGUAUUGACGGUAUUUAACCAGAAAGCCACGGCUAACUACGUGCCAGCAGCCGCGGUAAUACGUAGGUGGCAAGCGUUGUCCGGAUUUAUUGGGCGUAAAGCGAGCGCAGGCGGUUUUUUAAGUCUGAUGUGAAAGCCUUCGGCUCAACCGAAGAAGUGCAUCGGAAACUGGGAAACUUGAGUGCAGAAGAGGACAGUGGAACUCCAUGUGUAGCGGUGAAAUGCGUAGAUAUAUGGAAGAACACCAGUGGCGAAGGCGGCUGUCUGGUCUGUAACUGACGCUGAGGCUCGAAAGUAUGGGUAGCAAACAGGAUUAGAUACCCUGGUAGUCCAUACCGUAAACGAUGAAUGCUAAGUGUUGGAGGGUUUCCGCCCUUCAGUGCUGCAGCUAACGCAUUAAGCAUUCCGCCUGGGGAGUACGGCCGCAAGGCUGAAACUCAAAGGAAUUGACGGGGGCCCGCACAAGCGGUGGAGCAUGUGGUUUAAUUCGAAGCUACGCGAAGAACCUUACCAGGUCUUGACAUACUAUGCAAAUCUAAGAGAUUAGACGUUCCCUUCGGGGACAUGGAUACAGGUGGUGCAUGGUUGUCGUCAGCUCGUGUCGUGAGAUGUUGGGUUAAGUCCCGCAACGAGCGCAACCCUUAUUAUCAGUUGCCAGCAUUAAGUUGGGCACUCUGGUGAGACUGCCGGUGACAAACCGGAGGAAGGUGGGGAUGACGUCAAAUCAUCAUGCCCCUUAUGACCUGGGCUACACACGUGCUACAAUGGAUGGUACAACGAGUUGCGAACUCGCGAGAGUAAGCUAAUCUCUUAAAGCCAUUCUCAGUUCGGAUUGUAGGCUGCAACUCGCCUACAUGAAGUCGGAAUCGCUAGUAAUCGCGGAUCAGCAUGCCGCGGUGAAUACGUUCCCGGGCCUUGUACACACCGCCCGUCACACCAUGAGAGUUUGUAACACCCAAAGUCGGUGGGGUAAC
RNAcentral lists this ribosomal RNA (1401 nucleotides) under Lactiplantibacillus plantarum. Its description in RNAcentral is "bacterial SSU rRNA". It matches the Rfam family "Bacterial small subunit ribosomal RNA", at positions 62 to 1439 of the family's 1533-position model. The record is from RNAcentral. Lineage: Bacteria; Bacillati; Bacillota; Bacilli; Lactobacillales; Lactobacillaceae.